This 460-nucleotide ribosomal RNA is filed under the name uncultured bacterium. RNAcentral's name for it is "partial 16S ribosomal RNA". It matches the Rfam family "Bacterial small subunit ribosomal RNA", at positions 338 to 795 of the family's 1533-position model. The record is from RNAcentral.
CCUACGGGAGGCAGCAGUGAGGAAUAUUGGUCAAUGGACGAGAGUCUGAACCAGCCAAGUAGCGUGAAGGAUGACUGCCCUAUGGGUUGUAAACUUCUUUUAUAUGGGAAUAAAAUGUUCCACGUGUGGGAUUUUGUAUGUACCAUAUGAAUAAGGAUCGGCUAACUCCGUGCCAGCAGCCGCGGUAAUACGGAGGAUCCGAGCGUUAUCCGGAUUUAUUGGGUUUAAAGGGAGCGUAGGUGGAUUGUUAAGUCAGUUGUGAAAGUUUGCGGCUCAACCGUAAAAUUGCAGUUGAAACUGGCAGUCUUGAGUACAGUAGAGGUGGGCGGAAUUCGUGGUGUAGCGGUGAAAUGCUUAGAUAUCACGAAGAACUCCGAUUGCGAAGGCAGUUCACUGGACUGCAACUGACACUGAGGCUCGAAAGUGUGGGUAUCAAACAGGAUUACAUACCCGAGUAGUC